AUUGAACGCUGGCGGAAUGCUUUACACAUGCAAGUCGAGCGGCAGCGCGGGGCAACCUGGCGGCGAGCGGCGAACGGGUGAGUAAUGCAUCGGAACAUGUCCAUGUCGUGGGGGAUAGCCCGGCGAAAGCCGGAUUAAUACCGCAUACGCCCGAGAGGGGAAAGUGGGGGACCGCAAGGCCUCACGCGAUUGGGUUGGCCGAUGUCCGAUUAGCUAGUUGGCGGGGAANAGCCCACCAAGCGAUGAUCGUAGCUGGUCUGAGAGGAUGAUCAGCCACACUGGGACUGAGACACGGCCCAGACUCCUACGGGAGGCAGCAGUGGGAAUUUUGGACAAUGGGGCAACCCUGAUCCAGCCAUUCCGCGUGAGUGAAGAAGGC
RNAcentral lists this ribosomal RNA (379 nucleotides) under uncultured bacterium. RNAcentral's name for it is "bacterial SSU rRNA". It matches the Rfam family "Bacterial small subunit ribosomal RNA", at positions 29 to 415 of the family's 1533-position model. The record is from RNAcentral.